Molecule: ribosomal RNA, 440 nt
Filed under: uncultured bacterium
Lineage: Bacteria
Description: partial 16S ribosomal RNA
Rfam family: Bacterial small subunit ribosomal RNA
Source: RNAcentral
CCUACGGGUGGCAGCAGUGGGGAAUAUUGCUCAAUGGGGGAAACCCUGAAGCAGCGACGCCGCGUGAGGGAAGAAGGAUCUAGGAUUGUAAAGCUCUUUUGUUAGGGACGAAAAUGACGGUACCUGACUAAUAAGCACCGGCUAACUCCGUGCCAGCUGCCGCGGUAAUACGGAGGGUGCAAGCGUUAUCCGGAUUCACUGGGCGUAAAGGGGGCGUAGGCGGGGUAAGAAGUCAGGAGUGAAAUCCCGGAGCUUAACUCGGGAACUGCUUUGGAAACUGUUCUGCUGGAGUGUAGGAGGGGUAGGUGGAAUUCUUGGUGUAGCGGUGAAAUGCGUAGAUAUCAGGAGGAACACUGGUGGCGAAGGCGGCCUACUGGACUGUAACUGACGCUGAGGCACGAAAGCGUGGGGAGCAAACAGGAUUAGAUACCCUAGUAGUC